RNAcentral lists this ribosomal RNA (434 nucleotides) under uncultured bacterium. RNAcentral describes it as "bacterial SSU rRNA". It matches the Rfam family "Bacterial small subunit ribosomal RNA", at positions 29 to 507 of the family's 1533-position model. The record is from RNAcentral.
AACGAACGCUGGCGGCAGGCCUGACACAUGCAAGUCGAGCGAGGACUUCGGUCCUAGCGGCGGACGGGUGAGCAACGCGUGGGAACGUACCCUUUGCUACGGAAUAGCCCCGGGAAACUGGGAGUAAUACCGUAUGUGCCCUCUGGGGGAAAGAUUUAUCGGCAAAGGAUCGGCCCGCGUUGGAUUAGGUAGUUGGUGGGGUAAUGGCCUACCAAGCCGACGAUCCAUAGCUGGUUUGAGAGGAUGAUCAGCCACACUGGGACUGAGACACGGCCCAGACUCCUACGGGAGGCAGCAGUGGGGAAUCUUAGACAAUGGGGGCGAACCCUGAUCUAGCCAUGCCGCGUGAGUGAUGAAGGCCCUAGGGUUGUAAAGCUCUUUCAGCUGGGAAGAUAAUGACGGUACCAGCAGAAGAAGCCCCGGCUAACUCCGUG